RNAcentral lists this ribosomal RNA (473 nucleotides) under uncultured bacterium. RNAcentral describes it as "bacterial SSU rRNA". It matches the Rfam family "Bacterial small subunit ribosomal RNA", at positions 30 to 493 of the family's 1533-position model. The record is from RNAcentral.
AUUGAACGCUGGCGGAAUGCUUUACACAUGCAAGUCGAACGGCAGCACGGGGGCAACCCUGGUGGCGAGUGGCGAACGGGUGAGUAAUGCAUCGGAACGUACCCAAUCGUGGGGGAUAACGUGGCGAAAGUCACGCUAAUACCGCAUACGUCCUGAGGGAGAAAGCAGGGGAUCGCAAGACCUUGCGCGAUUGGAGCGGCCGAUGUCUGAUUAGCUAGUUGGUGGGGUAAAAGCCUACCAAGGCGACGAUCAGUAGCUGGUCUGAGAGGAUGAUCAGCCACACUGGGACUGAGACACGGCCCAGACUCCUACGGGAGGCAGCAGUGGGGAAUUUUGGACAAUGGGCGAAAGCCUGAUCCAGCCAUUCCGCGUGAGUGAAGAAGGCCCUGGUUGUAAGACUCUUUCGGUCAGGAAAGAAACGGUACUAGUGUUAAUACCAAUGGGCUAAUAGACGGUACCUGCAGAAGAAGACA